UACGAAGGGGGCUAGCGUUGCUCGGAAUCACUGGGCGUAAAGCGCACGUAGGCGGAUUGUUAAGUCGGGGGUGAAAUCCUGGAGCUCAACUCCAGAACUGCCUUUGAUACUGGCGACCUUGAGUCCGGGAGAGGUGAGUGGAACUGCGAGUGUAGAGGUGAAAUUCGUAGAUAUUCGCAAGAACACCAGUGGCGAAGGCGGCUCACUGGCCCGGUACUGACGCUGAGGUGCGAAAGCGUGGGGAGCAAACAGG
RNAcentral lists this ribosomal RNA (253 nucleotides) under uncultured bacterium. Its description in RNAcentral is "partial 16S ribosomal RNA". It matches the Rfam family "Bacterial small subunit ribosomal RNA", at positions 524 to 776 of the family's 1533-position model. The record is from RNAcentral.